UGUGGUAGACGGGAGAGCCAAGACCCACACU
This 31-nucleotide non-coding RNA is filed under the name Homo sapiens (human). The record is from RNAcentral. Lineage: Eukaryota; Metazoa; Chordata; Mammalia; Primates; Hominidae.